RNAcentral lists this ribosomal RNA (487 nucleotides) under uncultured bacterium. RNAcentral describes it as "bacterial SSU rRNA". It matches the Rfam family "Bacterial small subunit ribosomal RNA", at positions 30 to 504 of the family's 1533-position model. The record is from RNAcentral.
AUUGAACGCUGGCGGCAGGCCUAACACAUGCAAGUCGAACGGUAACAGGAAGCAGCUUGCUGCUUUGCUGACGAGUGGCGGACGGGUGAGUAAUGUCUGGGAAACUGCCUGAUGGAGGGGGAUAACUACUGGAAACGGUAGCUAAUACCGCAUAACGUCGCAAGACCAAAGAGGGGGACCUUCGGGCCUCUUGCCAUCGGAUGUGCCCAGAUGGGAUUAGCUAGUAGGUGGGGUAAAGGCUCACCUAGGCGACGAUCCCUAGCUGGUCUGAGAGGAUGACCAGCCACACUGGAACUGAGACACGGUCCAGACUCCUACGGGAGGCAGCAGUGGGGAAUAUUGCACAAUGGGCGCAAGCCUGAUGCAGCCAUGCCGCGUGUAUGAAGAAGGCCUUCGGGUUGUAAAGUACUUUCAGCGGGGAGGAAGGGAGUAAAGUUAAUACCUUUGCUCAUUGACGUUACCCGCAGAAGAAGCACCGGCUAACUCC